This is a long non-coding RNA of Aegilops tauschii subsp. strangulata, 2733 nucleotides long. RefSeq lists it as uncharacterized. NCBI's taxonomy places the organism in Eukaryota, Viridiplantae, Streptophyta, Magnoliopsida, Poales, Poaceae. The record is from RefSeq and is a predicted model, not a curated record.
GGCGCCGGCCGCCUGCCUCCACCACGCGCCGCCCUCCUCCUUCCCAUGCGCCGGCCACCUACAUCCAUUGCGCAGAUCCCGCCGCAGCCCCAAAACCUAAACGGCGCCGCUGUUGUCGUCCCGCACUGGAUCGACCCGCCGCUAUCGCUCUGCUGCCGUGUACACGCGGUUCAACGCCUCAGCCCCAGGCCGUUCAAUGCCUAGCCGGCCUGCGGCUCCUCCAUGGACACCUAGCUCCUCUACAAGAGCCGCCGCGGCCCACGGCAGCCCAUGGUGGCGGAGUUCGUUGCGUCCAUCAGUCCAACCCCAUGGCUUCAGGGUGCCCGAGUUUUGUCGCGGCCGUCAGUUCGGACACCUCCGUCACUGUGUGCGUUGCUACCACGGCCAUUUGCGUCACUGCGUGCUCCGUCACCGGCCUCAUGCGCACCGUGACCCCUGGCGCACUCCUUCCUCUCCCUGACGAUGUUCGUGCCCUCCCACGCUUGAUCUCCUGCUGCAGCGAUGAGCUCUUCUACAUUGCUGAAGUUCCGUACCUGACGGCACCAGCACGAGGAUGCAGCAGCCAGGCUGGACCCCAGUUCGUGCCUCCCUCUCUCUCCCUUAGCUACAUCAUCACUGUUGAAGUGCUGCUGAUUGAUUUCUUGUAGUGAACUUGGUGCUCCGUAGGUGCCUGCUGGUAUAUGCAAGUGAGGGCCAGCAUUUUUUUCUUCAGAUUCUUGUGUUUGUACAAGGGCUAAAAGUAUUUAGUUGUACAAAUUGAAAUUCCACAUAAUCCUCUGACUGCAAGUUUUACUUGUGACUUUGAUGCUUCGUAGGUGCUUAAAAGUAUUUAGGUGGGUGGUCCGACACCGCUGCGUCCAGCAGUCCAAGAUCGCCACCGGAGGCCUUCACUGUCGCAAUGCCUACUUUCGCCCGCGCCUCCUUCCCGGUCAUCGUGAGUGCUGCUUUGAUUCAGACCUGAUGGAAGAAGGCAGAACCUCUCUCUCGUGAAGAAUACAUAGCAGGAUCUGCCCCAGCAAACCACAUGUCGCCGGGGGCGCUCUGCCUCUCCUAUGCACCCCCUGCUUCCAUCUCCCUCCACCGCCGCCCUCCCUUACCCCUCCGCAGUUCUUGGCACCGCGGCUGUUGCCCCGCACUGGAUCGACGCGCCGCUAUUGCUCUGUCGCUGCGUACAGAGAGUUCAACGCCGCAACCCCCGUCCGUUCAAUGUCGCCGCCAUGGCCGUGCCCCACUCCAACUCCCUCGCCUGUGCUUCCAUGGCGAAACAGUGCAACCUGCAGGAGGAACCGUGGGGGGUCGAGGACGUCCAGCUCGGCAGUCCAACUCAGCAUGAUUCACGUCAUCGUUGGCCCCAUGUUCGCUGGCAAGACCACCGCGCUUCUCCGACGGCACCGGCAGGAAAAUUGGGUUGGGAGUCGACAAGCCGGGCAAAAUGUGUUGCUACUUCUACAAUAUCAAAGAUGAUGAGAUUCUGGUCUUGCUCGUCGAGGACCCAAUCACAGGGCAGUCUGUCGCUGCUGCAAUGCAUUAGGAAAAGUUCAAGUUUCCUAUUAGAUUUAGUUCUAUUGGAAAAGGGCCGCCCUCACCGCGCUUAUCCCCGUCGCCGGAGGGUCGGCGUGCAGGGGUUGGGCCAUAGCCGACAGUUCCGGUCGUCCCCUGCCACUGCUCAAUCUUCUCGCCUAACCCCCUUCCUCCCCGAUCUGCUACUGAUGUACCCCAACUACCACUGGAGCUUCGGGGAGCACUCCUCCGUCCAAGUUGAGCAUUGGGCGCCGUCCGAGUAGAGCACUGCACCCCGUCCAAGUUCCCAUCUAAUGUUGAACGUUAAAUUUUGUCAUGUUGAAAUAAUAUAGCACUGAGCACCCUACAAUUUUUUUUGCUUGAGCGCUGAGCAAACAGUGGGGCCUGGAGGAGUCACAGGGUCGAGGACCUCCUGCUCAACAGUACAACUUCUUGUUUUGUGGCCAGUCGCUCAAGGAGCUGAGUGCAGGCCGCAGUAAGUACAUGAUUACUAAUAUUAGGAUAUGUAUGUGGUCCCAGAAAAAACAUUUGUCGGGUUUUUGGUGGCCAAAUAUUGUUGAUAUGGAGAUGAAUAACUAUGCGGAUGCGCUCCUGUUGUUUUUCUGGAAAAAACAAGAUGCCAUGUUUACACAUCCAUAUUUAAUUUUGGAAGGUUCACACAUCCAUAUUAGAGAGAUUCAUCGGACAUAAUUUUGUAAGGUCAGAAAAAGCAAUUGCUCAGUACAUCACAGCAACUCUUCGAUGCAAAAAGGGUGGCUCUUCUCAAGUCAGCAGCUAACCAAACUGGCAACUUCAGGGUAGCUCAGUCAAAUAUGGCAGCUGUGUAGUAAACAAUUUCAGUUGAGAAAUCAGCAAGCGCCAUGCUCAGUCCAACCCCGUGGCUUCAGGGUGGCCGAGUUCGUAGUGACCAUCAGUUUGGAGACCUGCGUCACUGCGCGUGUCGCUACCAUGGCCCCCUGUGUCACUGCAUGCUCCGUCAACAGCCUCCUACACAAGGAAAAGCAACAGGAGUAGAGGCGUCUGAGAUGCUCUGUUCUACAGAGGUGGCUGAUUACGUUUGUCAGUUUGUAAUACUUUGGCCGCAGUGUACUUAUGUAUCUUUUUCUGGCCGGAGCACGACCAGAGCUUAUGUCAGUACGAACUUUGAUUGUAAUGGUACUACAAACUCUAUGAAAACACCAGCAAUCCAUUUUUACUGGUACUUACCUUUUA